UACGGGGGGGGUAAGCGUUGUUCGGAAUUACUGGGAGUAAAGGGCUCGUAGGUGGCCAACUAAGUCAGACGUGAAAUCCCUCGGCUUAACCGGGGAACUGCGUCUGAUACUGGAUGGCUUGAGUUCGGGAGAGGGAUGCGGAAUUCCAGGUGUAGCGGUGAAAUGCGUAGAUAUCUGGAGGAACACCGGUGGCGAAGGCGGCAUCCUGGACCGGUAUUGACGCUGAGGCGCGAAAGCCAGGGGAGCAAACGGG
Molecule: ribosomal RNA, 253 nt
Filed under: uncultured bacterium
Lineage: Bacteria
Description: partial 16S ribosomal RNA
Rfam family: Bacterial small subunit ribosomal RNA
Source: RNAcentral